RNAcentral lists this long non-coding RNA (2965 nucleotides) under Solanum lycopersicum (tomato). RNAcentral's name for it is "long non-coding RNA (SLYC_LNC001351)". Lineage: Eukaryota; Viridiplantae; Streptophyta; Magnoliopsida; Solanales; Solanaceae. The record is from RNAcentral.
GGGAUAUACGUCAGCCAUAGGUGUUUGAAUCCGGAAAUGUAAAACCUUUGGGGGUUGACUUAAUGAAGGACGUUCAAGAUUUGUUGAGGAUUAUUCAAGCAAAAUGUUACUACCGGAAUCUAGACCCCAGGUGAGACCGGCGUCGUUGACCUCUCAAAGGUCGCAGACAAGCCUACUUACGUCAUUCUUACUUUACAUAGGUUAAUUUUUGCGGAAAAAUUUGAAACAUUUCUUUCUUAUCGUACUUAUAAAAAAUUCUCAUUAAUACGUAAUUGUUCAGCAUCAACCAUCUAACAUUAUGAGCUAAGCAACUGAAAGAAACAGUCCAAUUCUUAUUAAGUGUAUAAUUGCCAAAAUGGCACCAAUACAUAGUCUGAAUAAAAAUAGGAAAGAAACGCUAGUGGAACAUUGUCCACUAGCUAAACUCUAAAAAUAAUUUAGAAUAUAAAACACCAGCUCCCUCGAAAACAUGAGGACAAACCAAAGCCGGAUGAAUGAUGAAUGUCCGGAUAACUGCAGCGAUGAUCAUGUAGUUCUAUCGUCCACCUGUGCAUGCACCUAAAAUAGUAAAGUUUGUAUAGGGUUAGUACACACUUAUACUAAGUAUGGGUAUAUUCAAGCACACACCGCGGACAUGCAUGAGAAAAAACAUAGCUUUCCUAACAACAUUAUUUUUGGAAGUCAUGUUAGUAGACUUGAAAAAUCGAGAUUAGGGAAGUUAGUGAAUUUUCCAAAUUCGGUUAGGAAGGUCAUGCCAUGAGAGUAACAUGCAUCAUCAUAAGUAUCAUAUUGCACACAACACGUAACAUCUUCAUAUAGUACAUACCAUUGCACAUAACAUAUAACACAUAGUUUCGUUCAUAUCAUUAAUUCAUAUGCCAUGAUACCUUGGAAGUAAUGGACUUGAUAUUAAGACUUUUCAAAAUGAAGGCUCAACAUAUGGGACCUCAACUAGGGAGUCUUCAUUAGCAAACACAAAGUCUGUUUCAUCCAUGCAUACGUACUUCAUUUCAUUUGAUUCAUAGGCCAGUGUGAACACCAUCUAUACCUAGGAUCUAGUUUAAGACGUUCAUCGCGUUUGCUGUGUAAUGAUCAGGAACAACCUAAUGUCAUUACCUGAGUGUAGAUCACCUCUUGAUUAUCCUAUCCUAACACAUUCGGUAUCAUUCAUUUCUUUAAAUGCUUCAUUUGAGUCUGACUUCAUUCAUUCAUUGGGAACUUUAACUUUAACCAACAUAGAUCAGGUGAGCAUCAUGAAAACCAUUGUCUCCCUUACACUGAAAAGAGGUGGAAUCACUGGCCAAAGUGACUCAAUAACAUGCUAGUGUAUAUGGGAAUUUAACCACACCAGAUCCCUAUAUUGGAAGUAUAUGUUCAAAGUCUACGAGAUGUAUGGAUACCCAUACCUAGCAAGCCGGACAGUCUCAUCUCAUGAGAGUUAUGUGAACCUUCCCUUAUCCUGAAAGAAGGCAUUACCGCUCAUAGCUAGCCUAUCCGUGGUCAUUGUAAAGUUCAAUUACAUUAAACUCAUACUUAAUGGAAGUUGGCUUCUAGUAUGAGGACAACAUAGCUCAUUCGAUUAUUCUCAUAUCAUCAUUACUAUUAAGUGUGUUAAACUCAACACUUUCAUUAGAGUGUUCGUAGAUAUUGGUCUCUUCAUUAUCUUACACUCCCCAACAACCCCUUUGAUUUUUAGAGUUAAAUUCGCUACAAUAUGGAGGUUGUGGGCUCAAACCCCCACAACCCCCCUUAUAUUUUUUUUUAAAUUUCGCUUAGGAGGCUAUAAGAUGGUGGGUUCAAACCCCACAACCCCUCUAUCAUUAUUUUAUUUUAAUGGGUGAGUGACAAUGAGGUUUGUGGUAUCGAAUCCCCACAGCCUCACUUUAUUUCCUUGUUAUUUUGCCUUUUCCUUCAGCGCUGAGGUCGUGGGUUCUAUCCUCACGCCUCAUAUUUUCUUUUUUCAUUAUUUCCUCUCUCUUUGCGCGUACUAGGAGGUCGUGGGUUUGAAUCCUACGCCUCCCAUUUACUUGUUUACUUAUAUUUUUUCUCCUUCUCCUCCUGAUAGGUCGCGAUUUUGAUUCCCCACCAGCCCCAUUUCAUUUUUACCGCAAAACAGGAGCUAGGAUAAAAACCCGCAGCCCCCAUUUUCUUUUUUCUUUGCCUAUGCAAACCACUAACUAAGGGGUUUGAUUCCCCUUAGCUCCUUCACAUUUUCUCUUAUUUUUUAAGCCUGCUCAACAUAUGAGGUCCUUGUUUCAAUUCCCAUCGAACUCACUUAUUUAUUUCUCUUUUUAAAAAGCCCAAAAAUUAACCUUAUGGGAGAGUAUGCAAUCUAGACUUUUUUUCUUAUCAUUCUUCACUCAUUUUUAGUCACCUCUUUCAUGAGUUUGCAUAGCUAAAAGAGUUUUAUUCAACCCAAAAUUUUUCAUUAUAAUGAACACUACAUUUCACACACAUUACACACAUAAAAUACACCAAAAAAAUGAAUAUUCAACCCCAAAAGUGUGGCUAAAGCCAGUGCCCACAAUGCACACACAACACCAAUUUUUGGUUACACUUCGAAUAUCGUUUUCAUAAUUUCCCUCACAUUAAAUGUGUUCACACAUAAUAUAAAUACAUCAAUCAAGCCUAAGUCUAGCAACACAACAUACCUAUCCUAUGAAUUCGUUUGGAUCUAGGACAAGGACAUACAAAGGGGGACAACCUUAUUUCUCAAGAGCAUGAGAAACCUUCGAAAGAAAGUACUCUUGGAGAAAGAAUUCCAGCAGAGAAAACCCAUACCUUUUGUUGUUGUUCAACUGUGAAGCUGCUCCCGGAAACUCCUCCAAACCAUGCACAAUUCACUUCAACGUACACCCCACUCGACGAGCCUCUCUUAGACUUGACGUUUUGAUUACAUUGUCUUUUACUUAAAAAUUCUUGUGAGUUCCUCAAGUGUGAAGAACUCUUGAUGUAUUUUUUUGUU